CGAGCGGGCCAGACGAUCGCGCGCUUCGGCGUGAGGAAAGUCCGGGCUCCAUAGGGCAAGAUGCCAGCUAACGGCUGGGCGGGGCGACCCGACGGAAAGUGCCACAGAAAAGAAGACUCCCCCGCGAACACGCGCUUCGGCGCGCAGAAACGGGAGAAAAGCUGAAACGGUGCGGUAAGAGCGCACCAGCGCGCCGGCAACGGCGCGGCUUGGAAAACCCCAUCUGGAGCAAGCGCAAAUAGGAACGCGACACGGUU
RNAcentral lists this RNase P RNA (257 nucleotides) under Eggerthella sp. RNAcentral describes it as "partial RNase P RNA component class A". It matches the Rfam family "Bacterial RNase P class A", at positions 1 to 250 of the family's 367-position model. Rfam says of the family: Ribonuclease P (RNase P) is a ubiquitous endoribonuclease, found in archaea, bacteria and eukarya as well as chloroplasts and mitochondria. Its best characterised activity is the generation of mature 5'-ends of tRNAs by cleaving the 5'-leader elements of precursor-tRNAs. Cellular RNase Ps are ribonucleoproteins. The record is from RNAcentral. Lineage: Bacteria; Bacillati; Actinomycetota; Coriobacteriia; Eggerthellales; Eggerthellaceae.